AGCCAACUUCAAGAUAAGAUUUCCCACCGCAAGGGUAAGACCCCAGAAAGACUAUCUGGUUGAUAGGUCGAAGGUGUAAGUGCAGCAAUGUAUUUAGCUUAUCGAUACUAAUAGGUCGAGGACUUGACCAAUAUU
RNAcentral lists this ribosomal RNA (135 nucleotides) under Clostridioides difficile. RNAcentral's name for it is "partial 23S ribosomal RNA". It matches the Rfam family "Bacterial large subunit ribosomal RNA", at positions 2791 to 2925 of the family's 2925-position model. The record is from RNAcentral. Lineage: Bacteria; Bacillati; Bacillota; Clostridia; Peptostreptococcales; Peptostreptococcaceae.